UGCUUAUACUCUGCCGUCGGGACAGUAGUGAUAUCUUUAUUACUCUCCGGAGUGUAAAAUAUCGUCAGGUCUCGACGAGUAGGUGGGCCGCGGCGGUGAGCGCAGAAGGACUGGGCGUAGGCCCGUCUGGAGCCGCCGUCGGUGCAGAUCUUGGUGGUAGUAGCAAAUACUCCAGCGAGGCCCUGGAGGACUGACGUGGAGAAGGGUUUCGUGUGAACAGCCGUUGCACACGAGUCAGUCGAUCCUAAGCCCUAGGAGAAAUCCGAUGUUAAUGCAGUUGUGUCUUUAUUAUACGAAUGACAAUUAGUGUGAGAGUUUCAAACAGUUGACGUUCAUACUUUGAUACAGAUAUAUAAUAAUGCUGGCUGAUCUAUUAAUACUACUAUCACUCACUCGCUCGCUAUUGAUAUAAGUGUAGCUCACUAUUUCUACUGUUUACGCGGUAGUUGUAUACUCUCACUUGGUUCAAUCAGUGUCAGUGUGUCUGGUGGGUUUGUAUGAUAGUUGAAACACUUUGUUAUUGUAGAAAAGUGUCUUCUGUCUCUAUCCACUAAUAUACAAAUCGUUGUUAGAGAAGUAUCACACUCAUUGGGCGAAAGGGAAUCCGGUUCCUAUUCCGGAACCCGGCAGCGGAAC
Molecule: ribosomal RNA, 636 nt
Filed under: Carabus morbillosus
Lineage: Eukaryota; Metazoa; Arthropoda; Insecta; Coleoptera; Carabidae
Description: eukaryotic LSU rRNA
Rfam family: Eukaryotic large subunit ribosomal RNA
Source: RNAcentral